Molecule: ribosomal RNA, 253 nt
Filed under: uncultured bacterium
Lineage: Bacteria
Description: partial 16S ribosomal RNA
Rfam family: Bacterial small subunit ribosomal RNA
Source: RNAcentral
UACGUAGGUGGCAAGCGUUGUCCGGAUUUACUGGGCGUAAAGAGCGCGCAGGCGGUCGAUUUAGUCGCGUGUGAAAGCCCCCGGCUCAACUGGGGAGGGUCACGCGAUACUGAUCGACUCGAAGGCAGGAGAGGGUAGUGGAAUUCCGGGUGUAGUGGUGGAAUGCGUAGAGAUCCGGAGGAACACCAGCGGCGAAGGCGGCGUCCUGGACUGGUACUGACGCUCAGGAGCGAAAGCGUGGGGAGCGAUCCGG